Molecule: non-coding RNA, 337 nt
Organism: Arachis ipaensis
Lineage: Eukaryota; Viridiplantae; Streptophyta; Magnoliopsida; Fabales; Fabaceae
Source: RefSeq, a predicted model, not a curated record
GUGAUGGAGGAGGAAGUUGCUCUGCCACCAUCCGAGUUUGCUGUUGCAGUUGCCUAUACCGCUGCCGUAGCUUCUUCGUUCUGUUAUUACUUUCUAAUUGUUAUGCCCUCGGCGCUGCCACUAGAAGGUCAUCGGGGUUAGUUAGAGCUGCCGUUCUGAUUCUGCCGCAGCUUGUCCGGAUUCCUGCUCGUUCCUGUUCUCUGUUCAGCCUUCGCCAGAGCACUGUCAUCAGAGAAACACUACUGAAACCGGGCCAGAUUCACUGGUAAUGCUACUUAUUGUGGUUGCUGCUGUUCUGAUCUCUGUGGGUUUCGACAUUGAGGUUCGAAGACUCAGU